UGGCGGACUGGUGAGUAACGCGUGAGGAACUUGCCUUUCAGAGGGGGACAACAGUUGGAAACGACUGCUAAUACCGCAUGACGCAUUUUGAUCGCAUGGUCGAAAUGCCAAAGAUUUAUCGCUGAAAGAUGGCCUCGCGUCUGAUUAGCUAGUUGGUGAGGUAACGGCCCACCAAGGCGACGAUCAGUAGCCGGACUGAGAGGUUGACCGGCCACAUUGGGACUGAGAUACGGCCCAGACUCCUACGGGAGGCAGCAGUGGGGAAUAUUGGGCAAUGGGCGCAAGCCUGACCCAGCAACGCCGCGUGAAGGAAGAAGGCUUUCGGGUUGUAAACUUCUUUUAAGUGGGAAGAGUAGAAGACGGUACCACUUGAAUAAGCCACGGCUAACUACGUGCCAGCAGCCGCGGUAAUACGUAGGUGGCAAGCGUUGUCCGGAUUUACUGGGUGUAAAGGGCGUGCAGCCGGGCAUGCAAGUCAGAUGUGAAAUCUCAGGGCUUAACCCUGAAACUGCAUUUGAAACUGUAUGUCUUGAGUGCCGGAGAGGUAAUCGGAAUUCCUUGUGUAGCGGUGAAAUGCGUAGAUAUAAGGAAGAACACCAGUGGCGAAGGCGGAUUACUGGACGGUAACUGACGGUGAGGCGCGAAAGCGUGGGGAGCGAACAGGAUUAGAUACCCUGGUAGUCCACGCUGUAAACGAUGGAUACUAGGUGUGCGGGGACUGACCCCCUGCGUGCCGCAGUUAACACAAUAAGUAUCCCACCUGGGGAGUACGAUCGCAAGG
Molecule: ribosomal RNA, 781 nt
Filed under: uncultured bacterium
Lineage: Bacteria
Description: bacterial SSU rRNA
Rfam family: Bacterial small subunit ribosomal RNA
Source: RNAcentral